This 223-nucleotide long non-coding RNA is filed under the name Zostera marina. RNAcentral's name for it is "long non-coding RNA (ZMAR_LNC003272)". Lineage: Eukaryota; Viridiplantae; Streptophyta; Magnoliopsida; Alismatales; Zosteraceae. The record is from RNAcentral.
UAUCGGAGAUGCUUGCUCUGGUGACCAUACUGCAUUCACAACUUUUUUCUUUUGAUUUUGCAGUUGUCGGGUCCUGUGUUCGGUGGUGUUGAAUAAUCAUCCUCAUUGUGACGAUUGUGGCAUGCUAGUGCUACAUGCCCCUAUUUACUACAGAUUUGGCAGACCGGCCUUUCUCCUCGAUACUUUCCUUUUUCUCCUUGAUGUUUUACCAUAUUAACCUCUG